RNAcentral lists this ribosomal RNA (343 nucleotides) under uncultured bacterium. Its description in RNAcentral is "bacterial SSU rRNA". It matches the Rfam family "Bacterial small subunit ribosomal RNA", at positions 147 to 507 of the family's 1533-position model. The record is from RNAcentral.
CCCCCGGAACGGGGGAAACGGGCCGGGAUUCUUCGGGACCGGUCACUUAGUUGGGGAGCCUGUCGUUGGUAUUAGCUUGUUGGUGGGUAAAGGCCUACCAAGGCUACGAUCCAUAGCUGGUCUGAGAGGACGAUCAGCCACACUGGAACUGAGACACGGUCCAGACUCCUACGGGAGGCAGCAGUAGGGAAUAUUGUGCAAUGGGCGAAAGCCUGACACAGCCAUGCCGCGUGUGUGAAGAAGGCCCUAGGGUUGUAAAGCACUUUCAGUAGGGAGGAAUUAGUAGGGUUAAUAACCUUAUGAAAUGACGUUACCUACAGAAGAAGUACCGGCUAACUCCGUG